GGGGCUGCGACUCAGUGGUAGAGCAUCUGGUGGGCAAGCAGGAGGUCGUGGGUUCAAUUCCCAGCAGCACCU
Molecule: transfer RNA, 72 nt
Filed under: Sphaerodactylus townsendi
Lineage: Eukaryota; Metazoa; Chordata; Lepidosauria; Squamata; Sphaerodactylidae
Description: tRNA-Ala
Rfam family: tRNA
About the family: Transfer RNA (tRNA) molecules are approximately 80 nucleotides in length.
Source: RNAcentral